This 82-nucleotide transfer RNA is filed under the name Pelodiscus sinensis (Chinese soft-shelled turtle). It matches the Rfam family "tRNA". Rfam says of the family: Transfer RNA (tRNA) molecules are approximately 80 nucleotides in length. Their secondary structure includes four short double-helical elements and three loops (D, anti-codon, and T loops). Further hydrogen bonds mediate the characteristic L-shaped molecular structure. tRNAs have two regions of fundamental functional importance: the anti-codon, which is responsible for specific mRNA codon recognition, and the 3' end, to which the tRNAs corresponding amino acid is attached (by aminoacyl-tRNA synthetases). tRNAs cope with the degeneracy of the genetic code in two manners: having more than one tRNA (with a specific anti-codon) for a particular amino acid; and 'wobble' base-pairing, i.e. permitting non-standard base-pairing at the 3rd anti-codon position. The record is from Rfam by way of RNAcentral. Lineage: Eukaryota; Metazoa; Chordata; Testudines; Trionychidae.
GCUGUGAUGGCUGAGUGGCUAAGGUGUUAGACUAGAAAUCCAAUAGGUUUUCCCUGCAAUGGUUCAAAUCCUGCUCACAGCG